AGGCGACUGCUCCCGCGAGGUCAGAGCCGGGCUGUGCCGCUGCCCCCGGGACUAGAAAGGGAAAUCUCCUUGCUAGAGGAGGAAGCCCUAAGAACUCAAGGGAGAUAGGGGUGGCAGGGGCAUUUCCCUGGAUGCCUGGAGCAUGGAGGGUGCGAAAUAAGGAGGCUUUCCUUCCCCAUUGAUGAGCUGAAGUUGAUUCCGCACGGGGAAGGAAAGGGACAGGAAGCAUAAUUGGAUGUGCAAGCCUGUGGUUCUUCAGGAAGUUAACACGUGGAACUAACACUGUUGGAUGCUGCUGAACUCUCAGAGAGAUCCACUCCAUUAACGUUAUCUGGAAGUCAUUGG
Long non-coding RNA from Pan troglodytes (chimpanzee), 345 nucleotides. RefSeq lists it as uncharacterized. The transcript is spliced from 2 exons. The record is from RefSeq and is a predicted model, not a curated record. Lineage: Eukaryota; Metazoa; Chordata; Mammalia; Primates; Hominidae.